This is a long non-coding RNA of Drosophila pseudoobscura, 1129 nucleotides long. RefSeq lists it as uncharacterized. NCBI's taxonomy places the organism in Eukaryota, Metazoa, Arthropoda, Insecta, Diptera, Drosophilidae. The transcript has 3 exons. The record is from RefSeq and is a predicted model, not a curated record.
AUCUGCGCGAGCAAGCGAUACAUUUACUAUCAGUGGAAACGAAACAAAAUUUCAAAAUAUGUUUGGCGAUAUUGCUAUUUUAAUAAUUCUCGUAUUUAUAAUGCUAAUACAUAUAUGCCUGACCUUCUGACUUCACUGACUGCCUAUGCAGGUGUUUUCUAAUUGCACAAUUCCCUUUUCAUUGCCUAUCUAGAUUUCCAUACGUACCCAAGGUGAAAGACUCAAGCUUAGGACUGCGUGGCAGCCGGUGUGACCAGAUGUGCAUGCUCUACGGUUACACUGUUAUGUAUUUGCUCACAAAUAAAACCAGUUUAAAUUCAAAUAUUGUAUGAAAAGAAGCCGGAAUUUACUAUUUGUGGGUGCUGCAGGACGACAAUGUACUGCGAAAUCUCCUCAGUAUUGGAUAAACCCGUUCUUACAUAACAUAGAUCCUAGAAAUGAAUAAAUUGAAUAUCAAUAUAACCGGCUCCCUUAAUUAUAUUCAAUUUGUCUUCAUUAUUGCAUUUUUCUAGCCGCCUUUUCAUCGACGAAAAUAAGAAUAUAUCUGUUUCAUCGAAAUCACCGAUAGUACCCUUGAUGGUUGUCUUUGACACUUCUAACUGUAUGAAUUGCGAACACACACACAGAAUGCCAGAGCUCGUGAUCAUGAUAAUCUUGGUCCUCGUAGCCUUUGCUUGGAUUGGAGCAAACGUCAACAAUCUUCUGUUGAUGUACUUGGCCGCUCUUCUCAUUGCCAUUUGGACUGGUCUGCAUGGUAAACACGUCAAGAUCAUCAGCCGGAAAACUGUAUGCGGCAAACCGAAGCUGCAGUAGAGAGCCGAUCGCUUCUUAUACACCACAUACAUAAGAUCAUCGACUUGCCAUCAUAUGUGCCGAAAUAAACUAGAGAUUGUUGUUAUACUUUGCUCAUCGACACUAUGCCACUGCUACAUUCGAAGGAUGCGAAUAUAUUCUCCAGGGAGACUGUAGCGAUUCUGCAGCACUUGGAUAUGAAGCGAACCUAGAACGAAUGUUUCCGCUCAACAACAACCACUUAACAAUUACUUAUUACUAAUUACAUACAGGCUUCGAUCCAUUCAAUUUUGAAAUUCAAUAAAACGCAAAAUCGCUAAAAUUCCACGAACUAAAA